Molecule: ribosomal RNA, 1576 nt
Filed under: Pygoscelis papua (Gentoo penguin)
Lineage: Eukaryota; Metazoa; Chordata; Aves; Sphenisciformes; Spheniscidae
Description: 16S ribosomal RNA
Rfam family: Bacterial large subunit ribosomal RNA
Source: RNAcentral
UAAAAAUCUUACUUCACCAUACAAAUUAAACUAAAACAUUCUUCUGCCCCAGUAUGGGCGACAGAAAAGGCACCACUGGCGCUAUAGAGAUCCGUACCGUAAGGGAAAGAUGAAAUAGUAAUGAAAACCCGAGCAAAAAACAGCAAAGAUAAACCCUUGUACCUCUUGCAUCAUGAUUUAGCAAGAACAACCAAGCAAAACGAGUUUAAGCUUGCCACCCCGAAACCCGAGCGAGCUACUUACAAGCAGCUACCCCCUGAGCGAACCCGUCUCUGUUGCAAAAGAGUGGGAUGACUUGUUAGUAGAGGUGAAAAGCCUACCGAGCCGGGUGAUAGCUGGUUGCCCGUGAAAUGAAUCUAAGUUCUCUCUUAAUUUUCUCUUUUUUCCCCCCCGGACAUCCAACCGCAAACCACCAUGUGACAAAUCAAGAGCAAUUUAAAGGAGGUACAGCUCCUUUAAAAAAGAAUACAAUCUCCCCUAGCGGAUAACUGCCCAACUGACACUAAACUGUGGGCCCUCAAGCAGCCAUCAACAAAGAGUGCGUCAAAGCUCUACCCCAAAAAAAUCCAAAAACAACAGGACUCCCUUAUCUAUAACGGGCCAACCUAUAAUAAUAGGAGAAUCAAUGCUAAAAUGAGUAAUCGGGGGCCACCCUCUCGAGCGCAAACUUACAUCACCACAUUGUUAACAGGCCCUAAACUAAUAUCCCACCCUCAAACAAGCUAAGUAUUAAACUUGCCCUGUUAGUCCGACUCAGGAGCGCCCAAUUAGAAAGAUUCAAAUCUGCAAAAGGAACUAGGCAACCCUAAGGCCCGACUGUUUACCAAAAACAUAGCCUUCAGCCAACCAAGUAUUGAAGGUGAUGCCUGCCCAGUGACACCCCGUUCAACGGCCGCGGUAUCCUAACCGUGCGAAGGUAGCGCAAUCAAUUGUCCCAUAAAUCGAGACUUGUAUGAAUGGCUAAACGAGGUCUUAACUGUCUCUUGCAGACAAUCAAUGAAAUUGAUCUUCCUGUGCAAAAGCAGGAAUAAACCCAUAAGACGAGAAGACCCUGUGGAACUUAAAAAUCAGCGGCCACCACACACAACCCAAAGCCUACCAGGCCUACGACCCCAAGUAAAACACUGGCCCGCAUUUUUCGGUUGGGGCGACCUUGGAGAAAAGUAAAUCCUCCAAAAACAAGACCACACACCUUGACCAAGAACAACCCCUCAACGUACUAACAGUAACCAGACCCAAUAUAAUUGACCAAUGGACCAAGCUACCCCAGGGAUAACAGCGCAAUCCCCUCCAAGAGCCCAUAUCGACAAGGGGGUUUACGACCUCGAUGUUGGAUCAGGACACCCUAAUGGUGCAGCCGCUAUUAAGGGUUCGUUUGUUCAACGAUUAACAGUCCUACGUGAUCUGAGUUCAGACCGGAGCAAUCCAGGUCGGUUUCUAUCUAUGCCGGGCUUUUCCUAGUACGAAAGGACCGGAAAAGCAAGGCCCAUACUACAGGCAUGCCUUCCCUCUAAGUAGUGAACCCAACUAAACUACCAAACAGGACACACCAUUCCACCAUCCUAGAAAAGGAUCG